This 554-nucleotide ribosomal RNA is filed under the name Dormitator maculatus. RNAcentral's name for it is "partial 16S ribosomal RNA". It matches the Rfam family "Bacterial large subunit ribosomal RNA", at positions 1854 to 2607 of the family's 2925-position model. Lineage: Eukaryota; Metazoa; Chordata; Actinopteri; Gobiiformes; Eleotridae. The record is from RNAcentral.
CCCGCCUGCCCUGUGACCAUGUGUUUAACGGCCGCGGUAUUUUGACCGUGCGAAGGUAGCGCAAUCACUUGUCUUUUAAAUGAAGACCUGUAUGAAUGGCAUAACGAGGGCUAAGCUGUCUCCUUUUUCCAGUCAAUGAAAUUGAUCUGCCCGUGCAGAAGCGGGCAUGAAAACAUUAGACGAGAAGACCCUAUGGAGCUUCAGACACAAGGACAGCCUAUGUUAAAAAACCUUAAUUAAAAGACUAAACCAAACAGCCCCUGUCCUCCUGUCUUUGGUUGGGGCGACCGCGGGGCAACAACUAACCCCCAUGUGGAACAAGGACAACUCCUUUAAAACCAGGGCCACAGCCCUAAUAAGCAGAACAUCUGACCAACAAGAUCCGGCACUGCCGAUCAACGGACCGAGUUACCCUAGGGAUAACAGCGCAAUCCUCUUUUAGAGCCCAUAUCGACAAGGGGGUUUACGACCUCGAUGUUGGAUCAGGACAUCCUAAUGGUGCAGCCGCUAUUAAGGGUUCGUUUGUUCAACGAUUAAUAGUCCUACGUGAUCUG